CCUACGGGAGGCAGCAGUGAGGCAUAUUGGUCAAUGGACGCAGGGCUGAACCAGCCAAGUCGCGUGAGGGAUGACGGUCCUAUGGAUUGUAAACCUCUUUUGUCUGGGAGCAAAGGGCGCCACGUGUGGCGUUUUGCGAGUACCUGAAGAAAAAGCAUCGGCUAACUCCGUGCCAGCAGCCGCGGUAAUACGGAGGAUGCGUGCGUUAUCCGGCUUUGUUGGGAUUAAAGGGUGCGCAGGCGGAAUGUCAAGUCAGCGGUAAAAUUUCGGGGCUCAACCGCGUCGGGCCGUUGAAACUGGCGGUCUUGAGUGAACGAGAGGUAUGCGGAAUGCGUGGUGUAGCGGUGAAAUGCAGAGAUAUCACGCAGAACUCCGAUUGCGAAGGCAGCUUACCGGCGCGCAACUGACGCUCAUGCACGAAAGCGUGGGUAUCGAACAGGAUUAGAUACCCGAGUAGUC
This 459-nucleotide ribosomal RNA is filed under the name uncultured bacterium. Its description in RNAcentral is "partial 16S ribosomal RNA". It matches the Rfam family "Bacterial small subunit ribosomal RNA", at positions 338 to 795 of the family's 1533-position model. The record is from RNAcentral.